AGCGGCGGACGGGUGAGUAACGCGUGGGUAACCUGCCUCAUACACAUGGAUAACAUACCGAAAGGUAUGCUAAUACAAGAUGAUAUAAGAAAUUCGCAUGGAUUUCUUAUCAAAGCUACGGCGGUAUGAGAUGGACCCGCGUCUGAUUAGCUAGUUGGUAAGGUAACGGCUUACCAAGGCGACGAUCAGUAGCCGACCUGAGAGGGUGAUCGGCCACAUUGGAACUGAGACACGGUCCAAACUCCUACGGGAGGCAGCAGUGGGGAAUAUUGCACAAUGGGCGAAAGCCUGAUGCAGCAACGCCGCGUGAGCGAUGAAGGCCUUCGGGUCGUAAAGCUCUGUCCUCAAGGAAGAUAAUGACGGUACUUGAGGAGGAAGCCCCGGCUAACUACGUGCCAGCAGCCGCGGUAAUACGUAGGGGGCUAGCGUUAUCCGGAUUUACUGGGCGUAAAGGGUGCGUAGGUGGUUUCUUAAGUCAGGAGUGAAAGGCUACGGCUCAACCGUAGUAAGCUCUUGAAACUGGGAAACUUGAGUGCAGGAGAGGAAAGUGGAAUUCCUAGUGUAGCGGUGAAAUGCGUAGAUAUUAGGAGGAACACCAGUAGCGAAGGCGGCUUUCUGGACUGUAACUGACACUGAGGCACGAAAGCGUGGGGAGCAACAGGAUUAGAUACCCUGGUAGUCCACGCCGUAACGAUGAGUACUAGUGU
RNAcentral lists this ribosomal RNA (707 nucleotides) under uncultured bacterium. RNAcentral describes it as "bacterial SSU rRNA". It matches the Rfam family "Bacterial small subunit ribosomal RNA", at positions 94 to 822 of the family's 1533-position model. The record is from RNAcentral.